CCAACUAAGUGGCAACGGUGAGGCUGAGCCGCAAAUUGAAAGAAAAAAAAAAUGGCAGAAUAGCGAAAACAGCGAAAGAGAAACGUGCAAAAUACAUGGCAACAAAAUGACGAUUGCUUUGUGGAUGACCGUGUUUGUGUAAGUGUGAACGUAUAUUGUGUGUGAAUAUGUAUUGAAUAAAGUUCUUUCGGGGCAGGCAGCAAAUUGUUAUACGCGUAUUUGUAAUGGUGCGCGCGGCCCGUAACAAGCAAGAAAGAAGGUGAAAAAAGAAGAACAAGAGCAAUAAAACGCGUACACAGACAACGGGCAACGGCAGCGACAACGACGACAGCAGCAGCGACAGCGACGAACGUCUCAAACUCGGCGCUUUUGCUAUUUGCAGAGAGCACGAGCGCGAGAGCAGGGGUGAAGAAACACACAAAACCAAAAGAGAGCGAGAGAGUGAGAAAGAGCGCGCGUACAACGAGCCGAGCCGAGCCGGAGUCGAGAAAACAACACAACACAACUGCACGACUACACUACACAGCACUACAAAAUAUUUGCAAAAACGAGGAAAGAAAUGUACAAUAAAAAUUAAUCCGAUUGACAGGCAGCAACCGCUUCGCGUCGUCGUCGUCUGUCGUUCGUCGUUCUCUCGCUCGGCCUUCGUUGGCCUGUUGGGUUUCUGUUGCUUUUGAUAAAUUUCUGCGACUUCCGCGCGCGCCCAUCCAAAAACAACACCGAAACUAAACUACAACAACUAUUUGUAGUUGCUGCUGCUCUUGCUGCUGCGACGUCGGCUCUGCUGCGACGACGCUGCUGCGCGACUGCGAGCGCUCUUCUUCCUUCUACACUUCCAACAUUGCCCAGCAAUCAGCGGCAGCAGCAGCAGCGCGACCCAACCGGCGUCUUUGUUAUUUCGCGAUGAGCGCGUCGACGCUGGCAGCGACGCUGACGACGCCAUUGCCCAAAUUAUGUUCGUAUUUAUACACACACAUAUAUACAUAUAUAUACAUAACAUGCAUGUACAUUUACAUAGUGUUGUGUGACUGUGAAUAUAAGAGCAAUUUAAAUUAUAAUGCAAAAAAUAAAAAAUUGCUACAAAACUUAUGUCAAUUUAAAUUAAAUUAAAAAAAUAUAAAUAAAUUCAAAUAAAAUGUAUUAUUAUCUACAAAGAUCCAAACAUGAAUACUAUAGAGCUCUUGUAAUUCGGUUUAAGUACAUUUAAGUAGUUUUUUUUUCAUCAUAUAACAGUUUAAUCCUGUUCGUGCUGCCAACAGUUCUGUUAGGGCCGCAGUCACUUUCAGCUCCAAAUAGCGUUAAAAAGGAAGGAAGCUAACUUUAUGGUGUCGACGCGUCGCAGCGUUGUUUGCGGUUGCUGAACAUAACAACAGCUGGGCGCUGGACGUCGCGACGUUGCUGCCCGCUUCACGUUUCCCGUUGCCUUGUUGAGAGUGAGAGCGGAAGAUGGAAGCGCGAAGAAAAAAUUAGCAAAUGCAAACGCAAAUACACUCACAAAAGUUGUAGCGGGCCAAAUUGGCAACACUAACAACGGGCCAAGAGCUAGGAAGACAACAAAUGAUAACAAACUUUGUGAGCUGAGCCCACAAUGCAAACGAAAUGGGCGACGACGACGAAGACGACUUAAUUUUUCGGCUUGCUCCACUCACGUGCGCGCGAAUGAGAUAAAUCUAUGAUGAUGUUGAUGUUGUUGAUGGGAGCUACAAAAGCAAAAGCGUGCGAAAAGGCCCGCGAGUCGCAGAUGUAGACGUAGCGAGAACGAGCCGAGACAAAACCAAAUUCGAGCGUGAGCAACGUCCCUCUCUCUACAAUAAAUACUUCAAUACGUGUG
Molecule: long non-coding RNA, 1831 nt
Organism: Drosophila mojavensis
Lineage: Eukaryota; Metazoa; Arthropoda; Insecta; Diptera; Drosophilidae
Exons: 3
Source: RefSeq, a predicted model, not a curated record